CCCCCCCCUCCCCCCUCCCCCCCCCUCCCCUCUCCCUUGCUUCAGCCGAUCAGUUUUCUACUGGCUUUGUUUCCUUUUCACAACUAAUAAAAAGUAUCUCAGCCUAAAAGCUAACCAGCCACCCCAGGUCCGCAUCAGUGCAGGGAUGCUUCUGGUUUCUCGAUCGGUGUACACCAGAAACCCCAUUUCUCUCCAUCAUCGUAGAAGUUGUGAUUCUUCCUCUUCAAUCUCUAUAUCGUGUUCUGUUCUUUUUAUUUCUGCCGUUAAUUUCUCCAUCAUAUGUCAAAAAAUUCUAUUUUGGUUUCAAAUUUGUCUUUGGCGACUGUUGUAUCCUCUUCCGGCUUUCUCUAUUAAGGGAAUUAAGUAUCCCCAAUAGGCUUUUUCAGCAAUCACAUAUAAGGAUAUAGUGAAAGCAUCUCGAGUAUUAUGAUGUUCGUGGUGUUAGUUCUUCAGCAUCUGGAAGGUUAGUUCUUCAGCAUUGGGAAGGAUUUGGCACCAAACAUAUUCACGAGAUUGAAAAUUCACCAGAAAAUAAGGGAGGUUAGCUUUUAACUCUUGUUGCCUGUUGCUCUGUUUCUCUUUUUUCCGGUUAGUAAUUUGUUAAAGCAGAGGGAGGUGGAGGAGUCUAAACAAAUGGUUGCUGCCUAAAUUUCUGCUACCAACUUUCACAAAUUGUAACACAUCAAAGUUGUUACUAUGAUUAUUUGCUUGUGCUUUAUGUGCAUAACUUAAGUAUUUAUUGACGCGAGCCAACAUGAAGAAAUGUAGUAUACAACCCAUCUAUGUUAUAGUUAAUAUUUGAUAUGUUAACUGAGGACUUAAUACCAACUCUAGCCUUCCAUAUUACUGUUAUUUGUAAUAGUUGAUGGCAACUAAAAGCAAUUUGACAUGUUCAACGUGUUUUGAGAACUACGAUCCGUAGUUGUGUUAUUGAAGUUGCUGUUUGAAGAAAGUUUAAUGUGAUGUUUAUUAUAAAUCAAGCAACAUUUAGUAUCCCACAAGCAGCAGCUAACCGUGCAAAUCAAAUGACGAUAGGAUUUCUAACAUUCGGAAUAUUACUCCUUUAUCACUUAACUAUUGAAGAUUAGAGUUGAAGAAUGAAAGGUGAUAUUUGUCGCACUUCCAUAUUUUACUUUUCAGUUGUAUGCUUCAAUUUGGAUAUGUACUUAUAAAAGAAAUUGAUUACGUGUCUUCUAAUCUGAGUCGUAGCCUUUGCACAUCUAAUGUAUCUUCUAGAUUUUUCAGCAGUGCAGAGCAUUCUGGCUCUUACUUCUUGCUUAAAAUGUCAAAUUCAUCUUUUGCUACUGCUUCUCUUCUAUUUAUGUUGAUAAAACUUCGGAAAUUAGUCUUUAAUCUCAUAUUUCAUAGCUGUCUUCGAUCUCUAAUUUUGCAGCAGCUCCUCUCAACCCCUUCUUCUCUGAGGAACUUCUGAACAAGGUAAAGUAUGUAAAUAGAAUUUUCUUUAAAGAGAAUGAUUUGAGUCUAUUAAAGUAUUUUUUACUCCGAUUUUGUGCCAGAAGUAGUAGGGCUAUUUUUGAGUCUAUUAAAAUUAUUUUUCAUCUGUGCGAGUACUCAUUUGAGGUAAUUUCUUUGACCUUUUAUAUGAAGUUCGUAUUUGUUUGACGCCCGGCUGAUUUUUGAUUGAUUAUCUUUUAAUUUCUAAGGUCAACCAACUUAUGUGGAAUUACUGUUUUUUUGGGAGAUUUAUUAACUACUUUUGGUGUGCAAUACAACCGGGGCGGACCUACUAAGGGCCCAGGGAGUGCCACGCCACCCGCGAGCUUCGGCGAAAACGCUAUGUAUAUAUCCAUGUGAAAGUGUAUGAUUAAUUAAAUUGGCACCCUGACUAAUAAAUUAUGCGAGAGUGCCAGUGGACAAUAGCAGGAGUUGCCACCCAUGAGAUGAGGGUUCGAGCCCAACUCAAGACACGUUUAUUACUAUUUUCACUUGCUGCUCCAAUAUAUUUUACAUCUACAUAUAAACUUAAUCUUAAUGAAUGAGAUUGUCUAACUACCGAGUACGGGGUAUAAUUGAUGUCUUUUAGUAUAGAAAUUAUAUUAUCUCCCACAUUUUUAUUAGCCUACCUCUGUAAUUUUAAAGUUAUAUGAGGAUCACAUACCAAUUUUAUAUACUUCUCGAUUUGUGAAAAGUUCCUACGGGUUGGAAUUUAAAUUAAGAGUAAAAGAAAUUAAUGGUUUUAAAUGAAAUAAAAAUCGAUUCAUUUCAAAGAAGCUUAAGAUGGUAAGAGUCGGCCGCCCCAUUUGAACCAUAAUAUGGCAUAUUUUUGUUUUAUUUUUUAAUUUUCGUUAUAUUGCCAAAUAAAAGAAGUUAAGUAAUCAAAGGGUUGGGUGAGAGAAAAGAGAAGAUAAUUAUUUGAAAUUUUAAAUAGUUCCAUGUCAUUAAAAUAAAUUUAUAUAUGAAUGUAAAAGAUAUGAAAUGAAAGUAAUGCUAUUAAUAGUUGCAAAAUUUUGUGGAGCUUGGGAUUUUUCUUAUCAAUGUCAGUGAAUGUGCUUCUAAAAUUAUCAUUAACUAUGACCAAGAUGUUUAUUAAGUUAAUUUAAUCUAAAUCCUUAAAAUGCAAAACAAGAUAAGUAAUCAAUCAUCUAAGUAUACACUUGAAGAAAUUAAGAAAAUAUGUAAUCAAGAGAAACCAGAUAAGUAAGCUUUUUAUCUCUUUCCUUUUCUUUUAUUUUCCUUAGUUCCUCCUCUUAAUUUGCUUUUAGUUAUUAGUAUUAGUGACUAUCUUUAUUUAUUAAUCUUGACCUUUUUUUUUUGCCCUUAUUAGUAUGUGCUAAAAUAUAAAAAGUUAAAUAAUCAGAAGUUUCUUAAUCCAAAAAUCUUCUCUUUCCCAUCAAAACAACAUUUCAGUUAUGCCGGGUUGUAAUAACUAUUUUUUUUUCGUUCAAUCAAUUUGUUUAUAUAAACUUAAAAGGCGAAUAAUUUGAUUCGAAGCCUAAAGUCAAUCGAACCAAUCAAAAACUUACUUUAUUUGGAUUCAACGAAAUGUGGCACCCGGAAUCUUCAAAUCCUGGAUCCGCCUCUGAUCUUAUCUUCACCUAAAUUUCAUAAAUCUUCAACAAUUGAGAGUCAAAUGAAAUAUUGUACGGGUCAAAUCAUUCUGU
Long non-coding RNA from Lycium barbarum (goji berry), 3122 nucleotides. RefSeq lists it as uncharacterized. The transcript is spliced from 3 exons. The record is from RefSeq and is a predicted model, not a curated record. Lineage: Eukaryota; Viridiplantae; Streptophyta; Magnoliopsida; Solanales; Solanaceae.